CGGGUGUGAAUUAGCGGCGAACGGGUGAGGAACACGUGAAGAAUCUGCCUUCAACUCUGGGAUAACUCCGGGAAACCGGGGCUAAUACCGGAUAUGAGCCUUGAUCGCAUGAUCGGGGCUGGAAAGUUUUUCGGUUGAAGAUGACUUCGCGGCCUAUCAGCUUGUUGGUGAGGUAAUGGCUCACCAAGGCGACGACGGGUAGCCGGCCUGAGAGGGCGACCGGCCACACUGGGACUGAGACACGGCCCAGACUCCUACGGGAGGCAGCAGUGGGGAAUAUUGGGCAAUGGAGGAAACUCUGACCCAGCGACGCCGCGUGAGGGAUGAAGGCCUUCGGGUUGUAAACCUCUUUCAGUAGGGAAGAAGCGAAAGUGACGGUACCUACAGAAGAAGCACCGGCUAACUAUGUGCCAGCAGCCGCGGUAAUACAUAGGGUGCAAGCGUUGUCCGGAAUUAUUGGGCGUAAAGAGCUCGUAGGUGGUUCGAUACGUCGGAUGUGAAAAUCAGGGGCUCAACCCCUGACCUGCAUCCGAUACGGUCGAGCUAGAGUUUGGUAGGGGAGACUGGAAUUCCUGGUGUAGCGGUGGAAUGCGCAGAUAUCAGGAGGAACACCGAUGGCGAAGGCAGGUCUCUGGGCCAAUACUGACACUGAGGAGCGAAAGCGUGGGGAGCGAACAGGAUUAGAUACCCUGGUAGUCCACGCCGUAAACGGUGGGCGCUAGUUGUGCGAACCUUCCACGGUUUGUGCGACGCAGCUAACGCAUUAAGCGCCCCGCCUGGGGAGUACGAUCGCAAGAUUAAAACUCAAAGGAAUUGACGGGGCCCCGCACAAGCAGCGGAGCAUGCGGCUUAAUUCGACGCAACGCGAAGAACCUUACCAAGGCUUGACAUAUACAGGAAUAUGGCAGAGAUGUCAUAGCCGCAAGGUCUGUAUACAGGUGGUGCAUGGUUGUCGUCAGCUCGCGU
RNAcentral lists this ribosomal RNA (966 nucleotides) under uncultured Actinomycetales bacterium. RNAcentral describes it as "bacterial SSU rRNA". It matches the Rfam family "Bacterial small subunit ribosomal RNA", at positions 82 to 1065 of the family's 1533-position model. The record is from RNAcentral. Lineage: Bacteria; Bacillati; Actinomycetota; Actinomycetes; Actinomycetales.